AUUGAACGCUGGCGGCAGGCCUAACACAUGCAAGUCGAACGGUAACAGGAAGCAGCUUGCUGCUUCGCUGACGAGUGGCGGACGGGUGAGUAAUGUCUGGGAAACUGCCUGAUGGAGGGGGAUAACUACUGGAAACGGUAGCUAAUACCGCAUAACGUCGCAAGACCAAAGAGGGGGACCUUCGGGCCUCUUGCCAUCGGAUGUGCCCAGAUGGGAUUAGCUAGUAGGUGGGGUAACGGCUCACCUAGGCGACGAUCCCUAGCUGGUCUGAGAGGAUGACCAGCCACACUGGAACUGGGACACGGUCCAGACUCCUACGGGAGGCAGCAGUGGGGAAUAUUGCACAAUGGGCGCAAGCCUGAUGCAGCCAUGCCGCGUGUAUGAAGAAGGCCUUCGGGUUGUAAAGUACUUUCAGCGGGGAGGAAGGCGAUAAGGUUAAUAACCUUGUCGAUUGACGUUACCCGCAGAAGGAGCACCGGCUAACUCCGUGCCAGCCGCCGCUGUAA
RNAcentral lists this ribosomal RNA (506 nucleotides) under uncultured bacterium. RNAcentral's name for it is "partial 16S ribosomal RNA". It matches the Rfam family "Bacterial small subunit ribosomal RNA", at positions 30 to 523 of the family's 1533-position model. The record is from RNAcentral.